ACAAGUAGUCAGAGCCCGUUAAUGGGUGAUGGCGUGCCUUUUGUAGAAUGAACCGGCGAGUUACGAUUUGAUGCAAGGUUAAGCAGUAAAUGUGGAGCCGUAGCGAAAGCGAGUCUGAAUAGGGCGUUUAGUAUUUGGUCGUAGACCCGAAACCAGGUGAUCUACCCUUGGUCAGGUUGAAGUUCAGGUAACACUGAAUGGAGGACCGAACCGACUUACGUUGAAAAGUGAGCGGAUGAACUGAGGGUAGCGGAGAAAUUCCAAUCGAACCUGGAGAUAGCUGGUUCUCUCCGAAAUAGCUUUAGGGCUAGCCUCAAGUGAUGAUUAUUGGAGGUAGAGCACUGUUUGGACGAGGGGCCCCUCUCGGGUUACCGAAUUCAGACAAACUCCGAAUGCCAAUUAAUUUAACUUGGGAGUCAGAACAUGGGUGAUAAGGUCCGUGUUCGAAAGGGAAACAGCCCAGACCACCAGCUAAGGUCCCAAAAUAUAUGUUAAGUGGAAAAGGAUGUGGCGUUGCCCAGACAACUAGGAUGUUGGCUUAGAAGCAGCCAUCAUUUAAAGAGUGCGUAAUAGCUCACUAGUCGAGUGACACUGCGCCGAAAAUGUACCGGGGCUAAACAUAUUACCGAAGCUGUGGAUUGUCCUUUGGACAAUGGUAGGAGAGCGUUCUAAGGGCGUUGAAGCAUGAUCGUAAGGACAUGUGGAGCGCUUAGAAGUGAGAAUGCCGGUGUGAGUAGCGAAAGACGGGUGAGAAUCCCGUCCACCGAUUGACUAAGGUUUCCAGAGGAAGGCUCGUCCGCUCUGGGUUAGUCGGGUCCUAAGCUGAGGCCGACAGGCGUAGGCGAUGGAUAACAGGUUGAUAUUCCUGUACCACCUAUAAUCGUUUUAAUCGAUGGGGGGACGCAGUAGGAUAGGCGAAGCGUGCGAUUGGAUUGCACGUCUAAGCAGUAAGGCUGAGUAUUAGGCAAAUCCGGUACUCGUUAAGGCUGAGCUGUGAUGGGGAGA
RNAcentral lists this ribosomal RNA (1005 nucleotides) under Staphylococcus aureus. Its description in RNAcentral is "partial 23S ribosomal RNA". It matches the Rfam family "Bacterial large subunit ribosomal RNA", at positions 566 to 1574 of the family's 2925-position model. The record is from RNAcentral. Lineage: Bacteria; Bacillati; Bacillota; Bacilli; Caryophanales; Staphylococcaceae.